RNAcentral lists this long non-coding RNA (1625 nucleotides) under Homo sapiens (human). Its description in RNAcentral is "LHRI_LNC9.12". Lineage: Eukaryota; Metazoa; Chordata; Mammalia; Primates; Hominidae. The record is from RNAcentral.
UUUCAUACUGCUGUUGAUGAUGUGAAUUUUGGAAAUAUUCUCCCCUAUUGGGUCUUUCUCCAUGACAGAUGAUGUCCUUUGGCUUCGGUUUUUUGCCUAAGAACUGUAAGUGGUGCUUGCUAGCCCUACUAAGAAUCCUGCCAUUGUUGCAAAUUUCAGAAAAAAGGCUGGAGUGCAGUGGUGCACACGCCUCACACUGUGACACAGCGGGAGAGCCCAGAGCGACAGCUGUUGGAAUGACUGCACUCUUCCUGCUCAAGUCUGACCUUUCCAAGGGUCUCACUCUGUCACCCAGGUUGGAGUAAAGUGGUAUGAUCAUGGCUCACUGCAGCCUCGAACUCCUGGGCUCAAGCAAUCCUCCUGCCUCAGCCUCCUGAGUAGCUGGGACUACAGCCUUUGUCCUAUGUCUGGAGACUUCUUGGAAGCUGGAGCACACAAAUAGCUACAGCAAACUUGAGGAAUGGGCAUGAAUAGACUGGCUUCGGGGAACCUGCCAGCUUGGCCGUGUGGCCAAGGUAAUAGGCAAGCCAAGGCAGAGCUAGAGCUCAGAGCUGGAGGGGAAAUUAAAGCAGCAAAUGUAGAAACAUUAAGCCUGAAGAGGCGACGACGUUGAAUUCUAAAAUGCAGGCCAAAGCUCAGACUGCAAGCUGUCUGGCUGCUCCGGGUGUGCCCAGAAGUCAAAGUCCAGCAGGGGCAAAGGUGGAGGUGUGGUCCUGCACGUGGGGUGUUGGGGGGAUGUGGAAGAGGAGGUGCUUUAAGAUCCAGAGAUUCCAGCUGCCCUGGUGCACCCUUGGAAGAAUAAAAGGCUAGGAACUGGACAAGUCAGGCUCGAGUCCAAGCUGCCUGAGGAAUCGGGGAAAGAAUGGAGCUCAGAGUGGGAGGUCAGGGCAGUAUUUAAAAAUCCAGGAUAGCAGCAAAGCUGGCGGUGGCCCCUGACUCUGGUAAGGGCAGCCUGCAGCACCAUGCCAAGGGGGGCCUGACUGAUCAUGCCCUGCAUUUGCAAACAAGGAUUAGUAGGGUAUGAGUAGGAUUCUGCUGGUGCCUGGGAAGGCAGUGCCAUCUACAACUUUACAAAGUUUUAACAAAGGCCUGAAGGACACAACCUUCCCCAAAGUCCUGACGUCGCUGUUUGCUGGCAACAAAUAGAGUCAAAAGAAGAGAGGCACAGAAUGUGCCAGGGGUGUGCUGCGUACAGCCCCGAUGACCACAAGGCCUUCUUGGGUCAAGUUCUGCCAUCUCUGGUUAAGAUGGGCUCACCCUCUAGGACCCUGAUUGAGUCCUCGGACCACCAAGAGUGCCCCACCAAGAGCCUCCCUCUUCUGGUGACUCGUGCCUGCUUCCCGUGGAGAGCUCCAGAAGGGAGGAAACUGUGAGGAGGUGGAGAACGUGGCAGGGAUCCUAACUUUCUUACUGAAGGAAGUUCUUCACAAGUACCCAUCUGCCUUCAGGGAAGAAAACAUAACUCAUUUUGGUCUUUCAAAUUCAGUUCUCAAAACCAAAUCCUGUUGUCAGCAAUCUGUGUCCCAACGCCUUCUUCAGCAACAGCAUUUUCCCUGUGGAAUUAGUUUCCAAUGUUCUUUCUUAAAUAAACCACUGAAGAUUAAAAGGAAUCCAGAUACCCACCA